AACGAACGCUGGCGGCAGGCCUAACACAUGCAAGUCGAACGAGAAGCCACCUUCGGGUGGUGGACAGUGGCAGACGGGUGAGUAACGCGUGGGAACGUGCCUUUCGGUUCGGAAUAACCCAGGGAAACUUGGGCUAAUACCGGAUACGCCCUUCGGGGGAAAGAUUCAUUGCCGAAAGAUCGGCCCGCGUCGGAUUAGCUAGUUGGUGGGGUAAUGGCUCACCAAGGCGACGAUCCGUAGCUGGUCUGAGAGGAUGACCAGCCACACUGGGACUGAGACACGGCCCAGACUCCUACGGGAGGCAG
Molecule: ribosomal RNA, 305 nt
Filed under: uncultured Pseudomonadota bacterium
Lineage: Bacteria; Pseudomonadati; Pseudomonadota
Description: bacterial SSU rRNA
Rfam family: Bacterial small subunit ribosomal RNA
Source: RNAcentral